RNAcentral lists this ribosomal RNA (859 nucleotides) under uncultured Actinomycetes bacterium. Its description in RNAcentral is "bacterial SSU rRNA". It matches the Rfam family "Bacterial small subunit ribosomal RNA", at positions 1 to 888 of the family's 1533-position model. Lineage: Bacteria; Bacillati; Actinomycetota; Actinomycetes. The record is from RNAcentral.
CCGCGGGAUUAGAGUUUGAUCCUGGCUCAGAAUCAACGCUGGCGGCGUGCCUAACACAUGCAAGUCGAACGAGAAAGUGGAGCAAUCCAUGAGUAAAGUGGCGCACGGGUGAGUAACACGUGACUAACCUACCUUUUAGUGGGGGAUAACCUAGGGAAACCUGGGCUAAUACCGCAUAAUACCUACGGGUCAAAGCAGCAAUGCGCUGAAAGAGGGGGUCGCGGUCGAUUAGUUAGUUGGCAGGGUAAUGGCCUACCAAGACUGUGAUCGAUAUCCGGCCUGAGAGGGCGCACGGACACACUGGAACUGAAACACGGUCCAGACUCCUACGGGAGGCAGCAGUGGGGAAUUUUGCGCAAUGGGGGAAACCCUGACGCAGCAACGCCGCGUGGAGGAUGAAGUCCCUUGGGACGUAAACUCCUUUCGAUCGGGACGAUAAUGACGGUACCGGAAGAAGAAGCCCCGGCUAACUUCGUGCCAGCAGCCGCGGUAAUACGAGGGGGGCAAGCGUUGUUCGGAAUUAUUGGGCGUAAAGGGUGCGUAGGUGGUUCGGCAAGUCUUGUGUGAAAUCUUCAGGCUCAACUUGAAGUCUGCACAAGAAACUGCCGGGCUUGAGUAUGGGAGAGGUGAGUGGAAUUUCCGGUGUAGCGGUGAAAUGCGUAGAUAUCGGAAGGAACACCUGUGGCGAAAGCGGCUCACUGGACCAUUACUGACACUGAGGCACGAAAGCUAGGGGAGCAAACAGGAUUAGAUACCCUGGUAGUCCUAGCCCUAAACGAUGAUCGCUUGGUGUGGCGGGUAUCCAACCCUGCCGUGCCGAAGCUAACGCGUUAAGCGAUCCGCCUGGGGAGUACGGUCG